CAGAAGGUAGUUUAAAUUAGAAUACCAGUUUUGGGUAUUGGUGGUGGAGCUAGCGCUUUCUUUCUGA
This 67-nucleotide transfer RNA is filed under the name Procolobus verus (olive colobus). RNAcentral describes it as "tRNA-Pro". The record is from RNAcentral. Lineage: Eukaryota; Metazoa; Chordata; Mammalia; Primates; Cercopithecidae.